UAAUGGGUGAAUUUGGGAGAAGGAGCUAAGCAGUGCUUACGUGUUUCUGAAUCUCCUCUUUGAAAAGAUGUGCCUGCCCACAGUAACAUGAAUUUGGGUCUGCUCUCAGCUCUGUGAACGAGAAGAGCAGGGUUACUUGCCGCCUACCCAGUGUCACCUGUCACAGCUCCACCGAGAAAAAUGACUAGACAGCACUUACAGAAACAUUCUCUUCUUCCUUGACUUCAUAACUAACGUACAUUGUUCAAAAGCAACGCCCACUCGAAAGAGAGAAAAAGUUGAAAGGAACCAUUUUAGGAACAAACAUAGAAAGUCAGACAAACUGAGGACACAGAGGAGUACAUUCCAAAUGAAAGAACAUGACAAAACCUAAGAAAAAAAAAACUAAGUGAAACAGAGAUAAGUAAUGUACCUCAUAAAGAGUUCAAGGUAACGGUCAUAAAGAUGCUCAGUGAACUUGGGAGAAGAAUGAAUGGAUCCAGUGAUAACAUCAACAAAGAGAUAGAAAAUAUGAAAAAGAACCAAUCAGAGCUGAAGGAUACAAUAACAGAAAUGACAAAUACACUAGAGGGAAUCAACAGCAGAUAAGAAGAUGCAGAAGAACAGAUCAACAAUUUGCAAGACAGGGUAGUAGAAAUCAUCCAAGCUGAAAAACAAAAAGA
Leopardus geoffroyi (Geoffroy's cat) is the source of this 662-nucleotide long non-coding RNA. RefSeq lists it as uncharacterized. NCBI's taxonomy places the organism in Eukaryota, Metazoa, Chordata, Mammalia, Carnivora, Felidae. The record is from RefSeq and is a predicted model, not a curated record. The transcript has 2 exons.